Molecule: unclassified non-coding RNA, 377 nt
Filed under: fungal sp.
Lineage: Eukaryota; Fungi
Description: partial internal transcribed spacer region
Rfam family: Eukaryotic small subunit ribosomal RNA (bases 1-46)
Source: RNAcentral
AAGUCGUAACAAGGUUUCCGUAGGUGAAUCUGCGGAAGGAUUAUUAACACGUAUCCAAACGUUAAAACCCCCCCCGUGAACCUUCAUCCUGCUCUUGUAACCCGCGUAGUUCGCAAUCUCUGAUAAACAUUGGAACAGUUACAAUCGAGCGGUAGUUCGUUAGGCAAUGUUUCUCCAAGCAGUCAGUGUCGGAGAGUGUCAUUGAUUGUGCAAGGAUAGCGCUUCUACGAUUCCUGUAGACCGUACACUCGGGCAGGAGCUUUGCCAAAGGGUCCCCAUGCCCCCUAAUAACCCCACAGUUUAAUGUGAAGCUCAAUGUAAUACAUUGGGUAAAAAAACCGAACAACUGUUAACAAUGGAUAUCUUGGUUGGUUCUC